This 964-nucleotide long non-coding RNA is filed under the name Ananas comosus (pineapple). RNAcentral's name for it is "long non-coding RNA (ACOM_LNC022287)". The record is from RNAcentral. Lineage: Eukaryota; Viridiplantae; Streptophyta; Magnoliopsida; Poales; Bromeliaceae.
GCAAAAACCCAAAAGCAAUACUCAAAUCGACUAAUAGAACGUCGAUAACGGAAAAACUCGAGUCACAUACCUUCUCAGGCUUCCAACCAGCACCUCACUGGUUCAGAGCUGCGAAAACCCUUCCAAAACACUCUCUCACAUGUCUACGAAGGCUCAGCGACACCCGUAACCAGCGAAGAACGAGCAAGGCGACGAAAACGAGCGAAAUCGCCGAUUUCUAUGUAGAGAGAGAAAAACCCUAGAGAGAGAGAGAGAGAAUGGUGCAAGGAUCCUUCUCUGAGCUCUAGCAUCAUCUAUGGAGCUCCAGAGGUCGUGCUGGGGUCAAAGAGAUAGAGAUCAAGUGUGAAAUUACCGAAAUGCCCAAGCUGCCACGUUUCUGCAUUGUGUACCGGUACACCAUAAUGGCUGUACCGGUACACCAAGCAGAAAAAUGCUGAAUUUCGCCGGUUCAAAGCACUUUCUCACUUUUAACCCUCCAAUCACUCUCUAACUUGUCUAAAAACUUGUCUAAGUCCUUUAGCACAAGUAGGAGGGUUCCAAAUAUCAUUCCUCACACUCUAAUUUCGCAAUUUGCAAAAUUCAGUGUAUUACACCUAUUUCGCCGAUAGCUCUACACCCGCUCGAUGAAUCGUAAUUCCGACUUCGCCAACGCGUUUAGACACCUAGCAAUUAGGUUUACAAGGCCUCAAACGAGAUCAAUCUCAUCUAUUUCCGAAAAUCCCAUUUUGGGUGCCCUAGGGUUAGCAUCAUGCCAUUUGCACCAUGAAACCCUAGCCUCUAGCUCUAAUCCACCAACAAUGGUGCUAGAAGUCCAUUUGACCUCAUCUCAAAGCUCAAAACCCAAAAACCCUAAGUUCUACAAGCUAGGGUUUGUAGCUUACCUCUUGAGCUAUACCAAUGGAGAGGAGAGAAAAAGAGGAAGAUGCUCCAAGCCUUCUCUAGCUUGAUUUCCUCCUUCUUCUUC